Molecule: ribosomal RNA, 708 nt
Filed under: uncultured apostome ciliate
Lineage: Eukaryota; Ciliophora; Oligohymenophorea; Apostomatida
Description: bacterial SSU rRNA
Rfam family: Eukaryotic small subunit ribosomal RNA
Source: RNAcentral
UGAUUCAGGGAGGUAGUAACAAGAAAUAACAACCUAUGUACUUUUGUACUGUGGAUUGUAAUGAGUUCUAACCUAAAAAACUAAACGAGGAACAAUUGGAGGGCAAGUCUGGUGCCAGCAGCCGCGGUAAUUCCAGCUCCAAUAGCGUAUAUUAAAGUUGUUGCAGUUAAAAAGCUCGUAGUUGAAUUUCUAGGCAUCAUUAAAUUUAACAAUCGUUUGUUUAUUGGUGUUUAUCCGACAUUGAACUUAAAUUGGUAUUUGGUUAUCAUUUAAGCGAACUGUCAUUUUACUUUGAAAAAAUUAGAGUGUUUCAGGCAGGCAAUUGCCCGGAUAUCUUAGCAUGGAAUAAUGGAAUAGGACUUUGGUUCAUUUUAUUGGUUAUUGAAUCAUAGUAAUGAUUAAUAGGGACAGUUGGGGGCAUUAGUAUUUAAUUGUCAGAGGUGAAAUUCUUGGAUUUAUUAAAGACUAACUUAUGCGAAAGCAUUUGCCAAGGAUGUUUUCAUUAAUCAAGAACGAAAGUUAGGGGAUCAAAGACGAUCAGAUACCGUCCUAGUCUUGACUAUAAACUAUACCGACUCAGGAUUGGCCAUGUUUAAACUUGGUCAGCACUGUAUGAGAAAUUAAAGUCUUUGGGUUCUGGGGGGAGUAUGGUCGCAAGGCUGAAACUUAAAGGAAUUGACGGAAGGGCACCACCAGGAGUGGAGCCUG